RNAcentral lists this unclassified non-coding RNA (2162 nucleotides) under uncultured fungus. RNAcentral describes it as "sequence contains 18S rRNA gene, ITS1, 5.8S rRNA gene, ITS2, 28S rRNA gene". The record is from RNAcentral. Lineage: Eukaryota; Fungi.
ACCACCUCCAUUGCAGCGACGAACUGCUCUCGUUCUUCAUGGGCAAAAACACGCCCGAACGGCAGGAAUUCAUCAUCCACAACCUCCGCGUCGAGAAGGACCUGAUUGAGGCGUGAGGUUCGGCGGUCUGUUCUGUUUUUUUCCCGAAAAAGUCACUGCCGCCGACAGACCGCAAUUGAAAGGAUUCGCCGGAGCGGUAACCUCGCCGCAUGAGCACGAAAGUCCGGGAGUAAACUGUGAACGACCUGCAACGACGCGUGACCGAACUCGAAGGCAGGAUCGGCGUCAAGGCGAGCGACGGCUGGCGCAAGAUUGUCGGGCAGCGAAGAACGACCAAUACUUUGCCGAGGCGAUGCGCCUCGGCGCGAAAUGGCGAAAGAAGGCAAACCGGGAGAAAUGGUGAGCCGAUGUUCGUCGUCCUCGACACGAAUCACUUUGCUGAACUCGUGCAUGACACCGCGCUUGGCGCGCGACUGAAGGCGCGAUUCCAAGCGCGGAGCCUAGGCACUUCACAUUUCCAUUCCAGAGUUCUGCUCGGGAAAAAGGGGCAGGAGUCACCGAUUGACAGACACAGUGACUGCUUUGAUCCCGCGCUUGGCAGAUGGUGCAGAGCGACCUACGAUGCCGCCAUGCACAUCGAAAUGGAUCUACCGGAUUCGGCGUUCAGCGCGCUGCGGCUGAGCCCGGUGGAGUUUGUGCGGGAGAUGCGCGUUGCGGCGGCGUUGAAGUGGUAUGAGGCGGGAAUGAUUUCACAGUCGAAUGCAGCGGCGGUGGCCGGAGUUUCGCGUGAGGCGCUGCUCAUGGCGGCUGGCAAGUUUCGCGUGUCCGCCGUGCAGGCCACUCCCGAGGAAUUGGCCGAGGAACUGAGUCGUGACUGAUCGCUGGGUGGUCAAUGCCUCGCCGCUGAUCCUCUUGGGCAAGGCGGAGCAGCUCGGUUGGGUGCCGAUGCUGGGCGAUGUGGUGAUCCCGCAGUCGGUGGCAGCGGAAAUCGGCGCGGGUUCGGACGAUGAUCCUGCGCGGCAAUGGAUCGAGAGCGGCACCGGACGUGAUUUGAUCCAGCCCGAUGCGGCGAUGAGUGAUGCGCUGCUUGCAUGGGAUUUGGGUGCGGGUGAGACGGCGGUGAUCGCUUGGGCGGUGCGGCAUCCAGGCGUGGAGGCAGUGCUGGAUGACGGUGCAGCGCGGGCUUGUGCGCGAGUAUCGGGGAUUCAAGUUCGUGGAACUCUGAGUUUGGUGGCGCUUGCAAAACGCCGGGGAUUCAUCCCUGCCGUGCGUCCCGCGUUUGAUCGGCUGCAGGCUGCGGGAUUGUUUGUGACACCUGCAUUGAUCGAGCAGGUGGCUCGGGUGGCGGGUGAGUGAGCGAGGCCCUUUGCCAGUAAUCCAUCCACUGUCGGGCAUGCGGUUCAUGGACCUUCCGGCGCUUGUCGAAUGGGAACGAAUCCAGUUACCUCGCCGGCCACGGCAUCACUGCCAAAAGAAUUUCAGAACACGCUCUUAAAUGCCCAAACGCCCCAAAAAGCCCGCCGACAAACCAUCGAAGAAACCGAUCACCAGCGGACAACCGGAACUGCUUUUGGACUCCGCGCCUGUGCCUGCGCCCGCUGCGGCGGCAGAUAUAACGCCGGUAACCACCAAUGGUGCCGUCUCCGAUGCGACCGCAGAUGGGCAGCCCGACGCCGUACCGUCGGCUGAUGGGAUGCCGCCGAGGCGCAAGGAGGGCGAGAAGGUUCAGGAUGAAAAUGCCCCGCUCGCCGUCAGCUACCGCAAUUGGUUCCUCGACUACGCGAGCUACGUGAUCCUGGACCGUGCGGUGCCACACAUCGACGACGGCCUGAAGCCGGUCCAGCGCCGCGUCCUACAUACCCUCUGGGACAUGGACGACGGCCGGUUUCACAAGGUCGCCAACGUCUCCGGGCGGACCGCAUCACUGCACCCGCACGGCGGCGCGUCGAUCGAUGGCGCGCUCGUGGCCAUCGGGCAGCGCGGGUGGCUCAUCGAGCCGCAGGGGAAUUACGGCAACACGCUCACCGGCGACGAUGCGGCCGCGCCGCGCUACAUCGAGGCGCGUCUCACGCCUUUCGCGAAGGACGUGCUCUUCAAUCCGAAGACGACGACGUGGCAGCUCAGCUACGAUGGCCGCAAUAAGGAACCGGUCACGCUGCCUG